GGCGAUGAUGCAUAGCCGAGUUGAGAGACUGAUUCGGCCACAUUUGGGACUGAGACACGGCCCCAAACUCCUACGGGAGGCAGCAGUAGGGAAUCUUCCACAAUGGACGCAAGUCUGAUGGAGCAACGCCGCGUGAGUGAAGAAGGUUUUUCGGAUCGUAAAGCUCUGUUGUUGGUGAAGAAGGAUAGAGGUAGUAACUGGCCUUUAUUUGACGGUAAUCAACCAGAAAGUCACGGGCUAACUACGUGCCAGCAGCCGCGGUAAAU
This 266-nucleotide ribosomal RNA is filed under the name uncultured Lactobacillus sp. RNAcentral describes it as "partial 16S ribosomal RNA". It matches the Rfam family "Bacterial small subunit ribosomal RNA", at positions 272 to 525 of the family's 1533-position model. Lineage: Bacteria; Bacillati; Bacillota; Bacilli; Lactobacillales; Lactobacillaceae. The record is from RNAcentral.